Long non-coding RNA from Heterocephalus glaber (naked mole-rat), 608 nucleotides. The record is from Ensembl. NCBI's taxonomy places the organism in Eukaryota, Metazoa, Chordata, Mammalia, Rodentia, Bathyergidae.
CUCCCACAAGGAGGAAGGCUCCACCUGGCCUCAGCUUUUUGUAUCUCUUUGUCUGUCUUUUCUUUUCUUUUUUGGUACCAGGGAUCAAACUCAGGUCCUUGUGCUUGCUGGGCAGGUGGCAGAACCACUGAGCUAAAUCCCCAGCCCUGAAUGUCUUUUCUUCAUUCCUCACUGUUCUCCCUCCAAGGAUCUUCGAGCUGAGCAGGACACAGCAGUUGGCACCUGAAACAGGCAGACUAUGAGACAAAUAACAUUUUCAGACUUCUGAUAAUAACUAUAACACAAGAUUACGCUACUUUUUUUUUUACUAGCUUUUUAUAAAAGAUUACACUUACAGUCCAGAGCCCAGCACUGAAAAGAUAACUGGGCUAAAAAGACAGGCAAUAUUUUGGAUCUGGGCCUCCAAAGUCAAGAAAGAUCCAGGACAUGAGGGAACCUUUUCUACAAAUCCUACAUUUUUGGGUCUUGCUAUGAAGGUCAGGCUGGCCAUGAACACACUACACACCCCAGGCUGGCCUCAAACUCACAGCGAUCCUCCUGCCUCAGCCUCAUGAGUGGUUCCUUUGCCAGUUUUUGUAUUUGUACUGGUGGACAAGAUGCCACUGUUC